Molecule: transfer RNA, 58 nt
Filed under: Salmo salar (Atlantic salmon)
Lineage: Eukaryota; Metazoa; Chordata; Actinopteri; Salmoniformes; Salmonidae
Also listed under: 1 other name
Rfam family: tRNA
About the family: Transfer RNA (tRNA) molecules are approximately 80 nucleotides in length. Their secondary structure includes four short double-helical elements and three loops (D, anti-codon, and T loops).
Source: Rfam by way of RNAcentral
UGGCUCAGUUGGUAGAGCAUGGUGCUUGCAAAGCCUGAGUUGUGGGUUCCAUUCCCAU